Long non-coding RNA from Loxodonta africana (African savanna elephant), 2407 nucleotides. RefSeq lists it as uncharacterized. The transcript is spliced from 6 exons. The record is from RefSeq and is a predicted model, not a curated record. NCBI's taxonomy places the organism in Eukaryota, Metazoa, Chordata, Mammalia, Proboscidea, Elephantidae.
GGGGACAUCGUUGUCAGCCACCUGCCAGCCUACCAUGCGGCUAUGUGCCCACGGUGUACUUCUCUGAUCUCAGGCCUGCCAUCUGCAGAGGGAUGUACUAAUUUGCAAAACAUCACCAGAGACUGCUUGUUCCUGGGAAACUGCAGAGAAAUGGGAAAAUUUCCAGUGAAACAACUAUAAAGAGAUCUUUCCUGGUCUGGAGAUGCGGGGAGGGGACACACAUUUACUGAGCAUCUAUUGUGUGUUAGGCACACACACCAGGUGCCUCACCUGCUUAAUUGUAAGCUACUAAGCUGAAGGUGGAGAUACAAUGCUUGGCACUCAACGCAUGGCACUCACUCAAAAAGGAAAUAUUUUUUGAAUGGAUGAAUGAAACUUAUAUCCCAAUUCAUCCUCCCAAGAGUCCAAUGAGAAGAGAGUUAGAGACAAGGUAACUGAUGGUGAGAGAAGGUCAGAAACUCGUGCCCAGUCACUGAGUUGGUAAGUGGUCAAGGAAGAAUUCAAUCCACAUCUUAGAACUUGCAUUCUUGCCAUUGCCCUAGGUUGACAGAAAUUAUCACCUUGACGGGAAGUGUUCACAGUGGGGGCCUCUGAGAACGUGGGACAGAGGAGAUAGAAAGAACAGGUUGAAUUACAUGACUUAUAUAAAUAAGGUUGAAAAAAUUAGAUGGGGAAGGAUGGAAGAGGAAGCCACACUGAGGGUGGGGAUGGGGCUAUGGCAGUGAGCCUUUCAGGGCCCAGGAGGAUUCUGGGAGGAGAUGGAGAGAAGCCUGUGACAGCAGGGAAAGGCGUGGAAUGAAGUUUUUAUCUGAAACCCCUGGCCUUGGGGAUGGAGUUCCUGUUUGUGUCGGAAGAGAGAUGAGAGGGGGCAGUGUCCGGAGGGCCCCUAGGCUAUCAGAGGAGUGUUUUCAUGUGAAGCAAAGGAAACAAAGUAAGGCGGACACAGCGAGCGAGACUUAGAAUAGACAAGAAAAGCUUUCUCGAGAGAGGAAAAGUCUUAAAUUAGCCUUUGGGGCAUGGGCCCCUCUUCUUGUGGGAGAAAGACUUCUUUGGGACUUGACUGAGCGGAGGUAAGAUCAGGUCUUAUUCGAAAGUGGACCAGGACCAGCCGUAAAAGGAUGAGAAAGCCCACAGCAACUGGCCCACAGGAACUGUUCAUCAGUGUAUGUUCAGGCUCAAGCAUGGCAGAUACAAUUGAAAUAACAGCUGGAAACUGAUAACCAAUUUCUAAGUUGCCCGUCCCUAUCAAACCAGCAGUCUGAGGAGAAAAGCCUAUUCCUUCAUCUGAAGACUCUUCUGCCCGGUUGGAUAUCUGAACAACUGCAUCCAUAAGCAAAGUCCAGUCCAGAGAAAGCCAUCAGAUUGCAGCAAUCUACACCAGCUCACAGCGUCAAACAUCUUUCUCUUCAUUUGGUCCAGUUCUGGUCAGCUCAUCCUGAGCCAUCCCCAGGUCCUACCUUCAAAUGCAAACCUUCUGUUCUCUCAGCAGUUCUGGACCCUUCGUGGCUAUGAUCGUCCUCUGCCCCUUGGAUGGCAUCUGUGUCAGUUGACAUGGAUAACACUUCCACCCAACCCAGUCUGGCCUCCAGGACUCCGCUUCAGUGCCAGCCCUGGUGGCUGAUAUUCCUGUUGGGUCAGCUCCAGGCCAGUGAGUCUAAGAUUUGGCAGCUUGUCACCUGACCUGGUGUUGACCUUUAAAGCCAGGUGCUGCAAGGUCAGCUGACUUUCUCACCUCCAGUUACUGAUUUGCUGCUUCCUGCUUCAGCCUGUUUGAUUUGGAUUGUUCACAUGGACAAUAAAAAUGAUUUGUUUGCGAUAAGUUCCUUAGGAAAGCAGUGUGGAGGAAAAAAUUAACCAAGUUCCAACGUAAUUUCCCCAGGCAGUGGGCAAACGACAGGGCUCAACAGUAUUUUCUUGUCUGUGUGGGUUUAAAUUGCCAAAUUAUAUUUGGAGUCAUUCCUUCUAUGUUCAAUUUUUUCCAUAAUUCAGUGAAAGGCAGGGUGUGUUGGGAAAGAUCUCGUCUAGUAUGUCUGAUCCAAGGGGGUCGGCAAAGACGCAGACAGGGACUAGUAUUAAGGGUCUGAUGGUGACUGUCUUUCCUAAACCGUAGUGCACCCCUCAACCUCCAUGCUGUUAAGGAGAGAAACCAAGUUGUAGAGACAGAGUAACCCAAAUUGAAAUCCUCGACCAUCAUUUCUUAGCUGUAUGACUUUGGGGAGUGGGUUGGUCUCUCUGGACCGACACAGCUAUAAAACAGGGAAAAUACUUCUUCACAGGGUUGUUGGGAAGUACCAGCAACAGCAAAGAGCACACAUGGUCAGUACUGAAGAAAUGGCAAUAACAAAUGUCAAGGGCCAUCCGUGCACCUGACGCUGUGCAGAUAUGAAAUAAAGCAACAGCACUCAUG